UCACUCUUGUUUCUCUUCAGAUCGUAUAAAUCUUUCGCCUUUUACUAAAGAUUUCCGUGGAGAGGAACGACAGGAGUUUAACUCAAUUUUUUGAUGCCCUGUUUCUGUGGGGUA
The sequence is a small nuclear RNA, 114 nucleotides long. Its record names the gene U5. It matches the Rfam family "U5 spliceosomal RNA". From Rfam's summary of the family: U5 RNA is a component of both types of known spliceosome. The precise function of this molecule is unknown, though it is known that the 5' loop is required for splice site selection and p220 binding, and that both the 3' stem-loop and the Sm site are important for Sm protein binding and cap methylation. The record is from Ensembl.